RNAcentral lists this ribosomal RNA (253 nucleotides) under uncultured bacterium. RNAcentral describes it as "partial 16S ribosomal RNA". It matches the Rfam family "Bacterial small subunit ribosomal RNA", at positions 524 to 776 of the family's 1533-position model. The record is from RNAcentral.
UACGGGGGGGGCAAGCGUUGUUCGGAAUUACUGGGCGUAAAGGGCUCAUAGGCGGCCAACUAAGUCAGACGUGAAAUCCCUCGGCUUAACCGGGGAACUGCGUCUGAUACUGGAUGGCUAGAGGUUGGGAGAGGGAUGCGGAAUUCCAGGUGUAGCGGUGAAAUGCGUAGAUAUCUGGAGGAACACCGGUGGCGAAGGCGGCAUCCUGGACCAAUUCUGACGCUGAGGAGCGAAAGCCAGGGGAGCAAACGGG